CCGGUGAGAAAUAAGAAGUACAAGAGCACAGGAUGCGCCUUGGGUCAGGGGGACGUGAAGAGCCUGCGGUCUUUGUAUCCUUCUCUGGGUUGGAGCUGUUGCAACAGCUCAGCCCUCAGCUCCCCUCAGAGCACAGCUGGGAGCCGGAGUCUAAGCUCCAGUGACUACUGUGUCUGUGGGGCUUCUAGCCUCCCGCCCAAGAGGACACAGAGGCCAGAAUGGCCACCUCUAGGGACCUGCUCCUGCUGCUCCUCUUAGGCCAGUUCUGGGCAGGGACUGGAGCUGACCCAGAGGCCGUGGUGUGCACGGGGACUGCUUGCUACACGGCCCACUGGGGCAAGUUGAGUGCCGCGGAGGCUCAGCACCACUGCAGUGUGAACGGAGGCAACCUAGCCACGGUGAAGAGCGAGGAGGAGGCCCGGCAUGUCCAGCGAGCCCUGGCCCAGCUCCUGAAGCCAGAGAAGCCCCUUGAAGCGAAGAUGGGCAAGUUCUGGAUUGGGCUCCAGCGGGAGAAGGGCAAGUGCUUGGACCCCAACCUGCUGCUGAAGGGCUUCAGCUGGGUGGGUGGAGGGGAGGACUCCCUGUAUGCAAAUUGGCACAAGGAGGUGAGGAGCUCUUGCAUCUCCAAGCGCUGUGUGUCCCUGUUGCUGGACCUGUCCCUUACACCCCUCCCCAGCCGCCUCCCCAAGUGGUCUGACAGCCCCUGUGGGACCCCUGGCUCUCCAGGAAGCAGUAUUGAGGGCUUUGUAUGCAAGUUCAGCUUCAAAGGCAUGUGUCAGCCACUGGCUCUGGGGGGCCCAGGCCAGGUGACCUACAGCACCCCCUUCCAGGCCACCACCUCCUUCCUGGAGGUUGUGCCUUUUGCCUCUGUGGCCAAUGUAGCCUGUGGGGAUGGGGCUGAAAGUACAAGUCAUUAUUUCCUGUGCAAGGAGAAGGAUCCCGAUGUGUUUGACUGGGGCAACUCAGGUCCCCUCUGUGUCAGCCCCAAGUAUGGAUGUAACUUCAACAACGGGGGCUGCCAGCAAGACUGUUUCGAAGGGGGGGAUGGCUCCUUCCGCUGCGGCUGCCGGCCAGGGUUCCGGCUGCAGGACGACUUAGUGACCUGCGCCUCUCGGAAUCCUUGCAGCUCCAGCCCGUGCAAAGGGAAGGCCAUAUGUGUCCCUGGACCCUAUGAGAAAGAUUAUACAUGCCGCUGCCCUCAGGGCUUCCGCCUAGACUCCAGUCAGGUGCACUGUGUGGAUGUGGAUGAGUGCCAGGACUCCCCCUGUGCUCAGGAGUGUAUCAACACCCCUGGGGGAUUCCACUGUAAAUGCUGGGUGGGCUACAAACCUGGUGGCCCCGAAGAGGAGACCUGCUGGGAUGUGGAUGAGUGUGCCCUCGGCCACUCACCCUGUGCCCAGCGCUGUAUCAACACUGAUGGCUCCUUCCACUGCUCCUGUGAGGAGGGCUAUGUCUUGUCUGGGGAGGACAGCACCCAAUGUGAGGAUGUGGAUGAGUGUUCUGACCCCAGGGGCAGCCCUUGUGACAGCUUGUGCUUCAACACUCAGGGAUCCUUCAACUGUGGCUGCCUGAGGGACUGGGAGCUGGCCCCCAAUGGGGUCUCUUGUAUCAUGAGCCCUGUGUCCUCAGGAACACCAUCUGGGCCUCCCCAAGAGGAAGAAAAGGGAGAGAGAGAGGGGAGCACUGUGCCUCCUACCACAACAUCCAGCUUCCCCAAGGACUCUGAGAAUACCUCCAAGGGUGCAUCCACCACAAGGAGACCUUCCCUCUCAUCCAAUGCCCCCACUGCCUCAGCCCUUCUGGAGAUGUCAGCCCCCAGUGGGGCCCCUGGCUUGUGGGCAGAGCCAGACACCCACCUCCUUACGGCUACUGCUGGCCACAGCAAGGCUACAGGUGAGAAUUCUGUGGCCACCCAGAGUGAUGACGGCACCGACGGUCAAAAGCUGCUUCUGUUCUAUAUCCUGGGCACAGUGGUGGCCAUCUCACUCCUGCUGGCUCUGGCUCUGGGACUUCUGGUCUACCGCAAGCGGAGAGCCAAGAGGGAGGAGAUGAAGGAGAAGAAGCCCCAGAGUGCGACUGAUAGUUACUCCUGGGUACCAGAGCGAGCAGAGAGCCGGGCCACGGAGAAUCAGUACAGUCCAACACCUGGGACAGACUGCUGAUGGUGAGAUGGCCCUAGAGAUACAGUCAGCUGCCAUCAUCCUUGGAGUUUUAAACUUCUCCUCUGAAGGGGAGAUCUUUGGAAAGACAGGACUGGAAUCUUAGCAAACAGUCAUACAACUUAAAAGCCUGGCAACCUGGAGCAUGCAGGUGCUUAAGAAGAGAACUAAUGAGUUUGUCCUUCACAGUCUCCUUAUGUUCUCAGGCUGAUCCUUUUCAGAGGAAAAAGUGGGCAGGUCACCAGUAAAAAUGUGAAGAAAGAGGCAAAAAGAGAGAAAUUCUGAUAAUGCUCAAGACCAGCAAUCAUUCCUGGGAAAUUUGAAUGGACAGAGGACCUCUCAGGGCUGCUCAGCACAGUGCUGGCCCUUUCUGAGUCUCCAGGGUGUUCAUAUCUGCAAUUCAUCACAAGUUGGGGGCCCUCGAUGAAUUUUAUUUGAGUUUUUGUUUUAUUUUGUUGAGGUUUAUCAUCAUUGGCUUCGAUGCUGAUAUUUCUCUUGUGGUUGGAAUUGGUCCAUAGCAUUCAAUUGAGUUGCAGGAAGAAAUAGAAGGAAGGAAAAAGGAAGGAAGGAAGUCAAGGAGGGAGGGAAGAGAAUAAAUGGGAGAGAAAGAGAA
Sciurus carolinensis (gray squirrel) is the source of this 2772-nucleotide RNA transcript. It is a transcript of the gene named CD93 molecule, with no coding region annotated. The transcript has 3 exons. Lineage: Eukaryota; Metazoa; Chordata; Mammalia; Rodentia; Sciuridae. The record is from RefSeq and is a predicted model, not a curated record.